AGUGAACGCUGGCGGUAGGCCUAACACAUGCAAGUCGAACGGCAGCACAGUAAGAGCUUGCUCUUACGGGUGGCGAGUGGCGGACGGGUGAGGAAUACAUCGGAAUCUACUUUUUCGUGGGGGAUAACGUAGGGAAACUUACGCUAAUACCGCAUACGACCUACGGGUGAAAGCAGGGGAUCUUCGGACCUUGCGCGAUUGAAUGAGCCGAUGUCGGAUUAGCUGGUUGGCGGGGUAAAGGCCCACCAAGGCGACGAUCCGUAGCUGGUCUGAGAGGAUGAUCAGCCACACUGGAACUGAGACACGGUCCAGACUCCUACGGGAGGCAGCAGUGGGGAAUAUUGGACAAUGGGCGCAAGCCUGAUCCAGCCAUACCGCGUGGGUGAAGAAGGCCUUCGGGUUGUAAAGCCCUUUUGUUGGGAAAGAAAAGCAGCAGGUUAAUACCCCGCUGUUCUGACGGUACCCAAAGAGUAAGCACCGGCUAACUUCGUG
This 492-nucleotide ribosomal RNA is filed under the name uncultured bacterium. RNAcentral's name for it is "partial 16S ribosomal RNA". It matches the Rfam family "Bacterial small subunit ribosomal RNA", at positions 29 to 507 of the family's 1533-position model. The record is from RNAcentral.